GGGGUUGUGGCUCAGUGGUAGAGUGCUUGUCUUGCAUAUUUGUGGCCCUGGGUUCAAUCCUCAGCACCA
Non-coding RNA from Ictidomys tridecemlineatus (thirteen-lined ground squirrel), 69 nucleotides. The record is from Rfam. Lineage: Eukaryota; Metazoa; Chordata; Mammalia; Rodentia; Sciuridae.